Long non-coding RNA from Canis lupus familiaris (dog), 1956 nucleotides. RefSeq lists it as uncharacterized. The transcript is spliced from 5 exons. The record is from RefSeq and is a predicted model, not a curated record. Lineage: Eukaryota; Metazoa; Chordata; Mammalia; Carnivora; Canidae.
CGCGGCGCGGGAGGCGCCCGGCUCCGCGCCUCUAGCCGCGUCCCUAACCGCGUCCCUAACCGCGUCCCUAACCGCGGCUCCAACCGCGUCCCUCUGCGCGCCCCUGCGCCUGCGCGUCCGCUCGGGGCUGGAGCUGAGCCUGCUCUUCCCCGGGCGGCGGCGGGGAUGCGGGCAGGAGGCGGGACCCCUCCUCCAGGGCUCUGCAGCACCCCCGCCCCGGCUCCCUGCCCCUCUCUAUCUCUGGGAGGUCCCCCCUCGCUCCUGAGAGAUGGAGCCUCCGGCUGCACAGGAAGGCUCUAGUCUUCUGAUAGGACCUCAACCUCUGCACUGGGUGGGAAUGUGGAGCUUUUCCUUUGGCUAAUGAUAUCCCGAGGAUCUCUCCGCUCUCGAAUUACAGCUGGUUUCGUCACUUGGAAGCCAGGGAACAAGUUUGGAAAGAAACCUCUCGCCAGGUCUCUGUUAUUAAAGGUUCCUCUCUCAAGCUUGAUUUUCCCUACGGAAAGACAGGGGCUAUGUUCCCUUCCAUCUCCCCGGUGCCUACUACAGUGCCUGGAUCACAGGAAGUGCUGAGUGACUAUAUGUCAACACCCGAGGCGAAGGCAAAUCAGUCACGUGUGUGAGCCUAGAAGUGUUACCAGAAGUUCCCCAGGAGAAAAGUCACAGGAGGUUACCAAACCUAACUUGAGAUGAAAGAGAUACACGAGGGAAUUGAAGCUCCUGUGGUCAUAAGACUAGUAAAUUGAGGAACUGAGAUUUUAACACAAAUCUGCCUGACACAAGCACCCACGCUCCAGACCACUGUGCUAACCUUUCUUUGGGGCCUGGAAUGAAGGGUCCAAGGCUGCUUCAAGGGACUUACCUGCCCGAAGAGGACUGGGGAAGCCGCACCUUUAACCACUGCACCAUCUUCACUGAAUGGUCUUCAAUCAGCACUGUUGAGAACUGCCGCUCUGACUCGCUCCUUUCCCAUAUUCUUUGUGGACAAACUCUCAAUCUCCUGCCUCUUCUGAGUUUGAACAUUUGGGUUGUGACCACGAGUAAAGCAGCCAACCCUUGCACAUUUCAAUCUCUAAUCUCCUAUUGUGUCUUUAUUUUGCAAUUUGGCUCCUGGAGGCCAAUCUAUUUACACCAAUGUCCCCAUUUUUUAAACCUCAUUUUCUCGCACAACUUGCCUGUACUACUAAGCCAGGAGAUUUAAGGCUAAAUUAAUCUUGCCUCCAGGACUGAUGUCUUACUACAAGAUAGAAGCUAUAGGACAUAGGCUGUGCUACAGCCAUGGCCUACAUCACGAAUCGAUCACAACACGCUUGCUAUCUUAGCCUUACAUCUUUCUCGGCAGGGUUGUAGGCAAUUACUGCCAAUAAAUUCAUUCAUUCAUCUGUGGGUUCAUUACCUCAGCAAGAAUUGUUAGUAUUGUUAUUCAAAGAUGUUUAUAAUUUUCAAACCUCAGCAAGUAUUUAUUGAACACUUACUAUGUGCCAGGUCCUGCUCUAGGCACCGGAUAUAAACUAGAAAUUAUAAUCCUGAACUUGAGUUUCCAAGAUGAAAUAAGACAAUGCGUAUAAAUACCCUUGUGAACUCUAAAGCUCUAUCCAAAGAGAUUGGAAAGAAGUUCCCACAUUCUUCAAUUUCUAAUUUUCUCGUUUAGUAACAUUUUUGUAAUGGAUGGCUGUCAUUGAUAUUUUACGUGGUAGUAAACCAUAGGCAGAAAGUUGCACAGGCUCAGAAAUCUAACUGAUUCUUUUAAGAAAUCUGAAAUGUUUGCGUGGUCAGGCCAUUUAACUUUUUGGGGUCUCUGGAUUUUAUUGUGGAGAUAUUUAACAUAGGAAUAGAUACAUAAGGAUUCUUUACAAAUAUUUGUAAAGUGUUUAGCAUUGUGAUUAGCACAUGGUAAGAUUUCAAUAAUAAUGUUGAUUAUUGUUAGUACCCUAAAGUCUAAUAACAAGAGUUUUUCUC